Molecule: ribosomal RNA, 894 nt
Filed under: uncultured Bacillota bacterium
Lineage: Bacteria; Bacillati; Bacillota
Description: bacterial SSU rRNA
Rfam family: Bacterial small subunit ribosomal RNA
Source: RNAcentral
CAAGUCGAACGAGAAAGCGGGAGCAAUCUCGCAAGUACAGUGGCGUACGGGUGAGUAACACGUGGGUAAUCUACCUCCGAGUGGGGAAUAACCCUGGGAAACCGGGGCUAAUACCGCAUAAACCCGGGAGGGGAAAGCAGCAAUGCGCUGGGAGAGGAGCCCGCGGCCGAUUAGCUGGUUGGUAGGGUAAAAGCCUACCAAGGCAAAGAUCGGUAGCCGGCCUGAGAGGGCACACGGCCACACUGGCACUGAAACACGGGCCAGACUCCUACGGGAGGCAGCAGUGGGGAAUCUUGCACAAUGGGGGAAACCCUGAUGCAGCGACGCCGCGUGAGCGAUGAAGCCCUUCGGGGUGUAAAGCUCUUUCGGCAGGGACGAUGAUGACGGUACCUGCAGAAGCAGCUGCGGCUAACUACGUGCCAGCAGCCGCGGUAAUACGUAGGCAGCGAGCGUUGUUCGGAGUUACUGGGCGUAAAGGGUGUGUAGGCGGCCUCUUAAGUUUGGUGUGAAAUCUCCCGGCUCAACUGGAGGGUGCGCCGGAUACUGAGGGGCUCGAGUGCGGGAAGGGAAAGUGGAAUUCCUGGUGUAGCGGUGAAAUGCGUAGAUAUCAGGAGGAACACCGGUGGUGCAAACGGCUUUCUGGACCGUAACUGACGCUGAGACACGAAAGCGUGGGGAGCAAACAGGAUUAGAUACCCUGGUAGUCCACGCCCUAAACGAUGCACGUUUGGUGUAGGUCAUUCAGUUGAUCUGUGCCGGAGCUAACGCGUUAAACGUGCCGCCUGGGGAGUACAGUCGCAAGGCUGAAACUCAAAGGAAUUGACGGGGGCCCGCACAAGCGGUGGAGCAUGUGGUUCAAUUCGACGCAACGCGAAGAACCUUACCUGGGCUCGA